GAAAGCGGGCUCCUACAGAGCUAUGUCCGGAGAAGCUGGCACAGUUACUCACCGCCCACGGCCACAAGGAGGUCUCAGCACACAGGGACAAGGUUUCCCUUCUCCACACCGGCCCCUAGCCACAACCCUCGCCUCCCCUCAGCCACCCAAACCCCUCAGCCUCGGAGCGAAGCUCUGAGUCCAGACCCCACCGGGCGCCCACAAAACCCCUCCGGGCAGCCCCAACGGGGAACCCCAGCGCCUUUUUCCCGUAGUUUACCCCAAGCUCUCCGGUUAGGAGCUGCCCGCUUUCCCUCACCCCUGCCAGCAGCUGCUGAGGAGAGGGAGGCGGCGGCGACAGGCGAGGCGGCCCCGGCCGGCAGCCGCCGCGCCAAUGGCGGCGCCGAGUCCCCUCAGAGCAGGGCGGCUCCGCCGGCUCCGGCCCGCCCUCACGGGGCUGGGCUCGGCUUUGGGGCACCUGUGGGCACCGCAAGGGCGGCUGGAGGAAGCGGGGAGGGUGUCAGGGCUGUGGGAGAGAGCGUCAGGGUUGUGGGGAGGGUGUCCUGGGUGCGGGGACUGCGCUGGGUGCGGGAGGUGGGAAGGAGUUUUGGGAGUGGGUUUGAGAGGGCACUGCUGAGGCGGAGGGCUGUGGCUCCGCAGCUGGAAAGAGGGUAUUUCUCAUCGAGUCCACACAAAUCACAUCGAGUUUGGCUCGACUGGCUGCCUGGAGGGAAAAUGAUCUGCAUUUCACUUUAUCCGGUAGUGGGUAAGCUGAGAGGCGCUAAGAUACGCCUGUUUGCAGUAGAUACAUGCAGCCAUAACGAAGGUUUCAGUCAUCUGUUUGUCCAGGAAGCCGCUCUAAGUGGUUUUCUGUUUAAUUGGUGGCACAAAAUACACACGCCACCAUUUGGUAGGAUGAUCCAGCAGGACUUUUCCUCUGAACUGAGCCUUGUUUGGCUAUCGAAGUGCCAAGAUGAAGCUGGAGUCCCUCUGGGAUCAGGCCAACAGCACCAACUCCCUGUCUUUCAGACAGCCCUCGUGGUGCUGCUUUUGCCUUACAUACGAUCUUCCCAAGCCAUUUGUUUUAUAUUUUUAAUCCUGUUUGGGGACAUGUGGAAAAUUUCAGUCCCUGAAAGUAGAGCCUGCAGUGCCAAACCUGCAAGGUUGCUCAGGGUGUGCUCUGGCCAUGCUCACAGGACCCCACUUCUCAAUGAGUUCCCUCUUGAGUCCACGGUUUGCAUCGAUUCACUUUUGAAAUCCUCCAUAAUCAACACUGUGUUCCUAGUCAUCAUAAAGCCUUACAUUUCACCUGCUACUCUAACUUAG
RNAcentral lists this long non-coding RNA (1305 nucleotides) under Cairina moschata (Muscovy duck). RNAcentral describes it as "domestica (muscovy Duck (domestic type)) lncRNA (ENSCMMG00000011229.1)". The record is from RNAcentral. Lineage: Eukaryota; Metazoa; Chordata; Aves; Anseriformes; Anatidae.